GAUGAAGAACGUAGCGAAAUGCGAUACGUAAUGUGAAUCGCAGAACUCAGUGAACCAUCGAAUCUUUGAACGCACAUUGCGCCCGCCAGCACUCUGGCGGGCAUGCCUGUCCGAGCGUCAUUUCAACCCUCAAGCCCUGCUUGGUGUUGGGGACGACCGCCCCCGGGCGCGUCGCCCCUGAAAUGGAGUGGCGGUCCCGCCGGGAACCUCUGCGCAGUAGCACAACUCGCACGGGGAGCCGGCGCGGCCCACGCCCAACCAAACGUACCCAUCGAUUGACCUCGGAUCAGGUAGGAAUACCCGCUGAACUUAAGCAUAUCAAUAAGCGGAGGA
RNAcentral lists this unclassified non-coding RNA (333 nucleotides) under soil metagenome. Its description in RNAcentral is "partial contains 5.8S ribosomal RNA, internal transcribed spacer 2, and large subunit ribosomal RNA". The stretch from base 1 to 120 matches the Rfam family "5.8S ribosomal RNA", at positions 35 to 154 of the family's 154-position model. The record is from RNAcentral.